This 350-nucleotide unclassified non-coding RNA is filed under the name soil metagenome. RNAcentral describes it as "partial contains 5.8S ribosomal RNA, internal transcribed spacer 2, and large subunit ribosomal RNA". The stretch from base 1 to 120 matches the Rfam family "5.8S ribosomal RNA", at positions 35 to 154 of the family's 154-position model. The record is from RNAcentral.
GAUGAAGAACGUAGUGAAAUGCGAUACGUAAUGUGAAUUGCAGAAUUCAGUGAAUCAUCGAGUCUUUGAACGCACAUUGCGCCCCCUGGCAUUCCGGGGGGCAUGCCUGUCCGAGCGUCAUUGCUGCCCUUCAAGCCCGGCUUGUGUGUUGGGUCGUCGUCCCCCCCGGGGGACGGGCCCGAAAGGCAGCGGCGGCACCGCGUCCGGUCCUCGAGCGUAUGGGGCUUUGUCACCCGCUCGAUUAGGGCCGGCCGGGCGCCAGCCGGCGUCUCCAACCUUCUAUUUUACCAGGUUGACCUCGGAUCAGGUAGGGAUACCCGCUGAACUUAAGCAUAUCAAUAAGCGGAGGA